This 670-nucleotide long non-coding RNA is filed under the name Homo sapiens (human). Its description in RNAcentral is "non-protein coding lnc-TDP1-6:1". Lineage: Eukaryota; Metazoa; Chordata; Mammalia; Primates; Hominidae. The record is from RNAcentral.
CCUAGUCAGCCUGAAGAAGUUACAGAAGAUGCAUCUUUGUUCCUCUACAACCCUUAGGAUUAAGGGUUCUCUUAUAAAAGCGCGGGGCUGGGGAGGGGAAUAUGUCAGAGGUGUUCAAACCAGAGCAAGUCCAUCUUGAAUAGGGGCUGAAGAUUAAAAACAAGGCAAGAUUUUCUGCUCCCAUGACUUCUAUUUAAUAUUGUAUUGGAGGUUCUAACCAUGCCAUCAAACAAGAAAAAGAAAUAAAAGGUAAUCAGGUAGGACCCAGAAUGGCAAAAACAACUUUCAACAAGAAAAAAAUUAGAAGACUUACAGUACAUGACUUUAAGACUUAUAACACUAUAAUGAUCAAGACAAUGUGCUAUUGGCAACAAGACAGACAAAUGGACCAAUGGAACAGUUCAUCCAUACUCAACAUGGAUGAAUCUUUUUUUUUUUUUUUUUUUUUUUUUUUUUUUUUGAAAAAGAAAGAGUUUUGCUCUUGUUGCCCAGGCUGGAGUGCAAUGGCACGAUCUUGGCUCACCGCAACCUCCGCCUCCCGGGUUCAAGCAAUUCUCCUGCCUCAGCCUCCCGAGUAGCUGGGACUACAGGCAUGUGCCACCAUGCCUGGCUAAUUUUGUAUUUUUAGUAGAGACGGGGUUUCUCCAUGUUGGUCAGGCUGGUCUUGAAC